RNAcentral lists this ribosomal RNA (244 nucleotides) under uncultured bacterium. RNAcentral's name for it is "partial small subunit ribosomal RNA". It matches the Rfam family "Bacterial small subunit ribosomal RNA", at positions 26 to 285 of the family's 1533-position model. The record is from RNAcentral.
AGAAUCAACGCUGGCGGCGUGCCUAACACAUGCAAGUCGAACGAGAAAGUGGAGCAAUCCAUGAGUAAAGUGGCGCACGGGUGAGUAACACGUGACUAACCUACCCUUGAGUGGGGAAUAACUGAGGGAAACCUUCGCUAAUACCGCAUAACACCUACGGGUCAAAGGAGCAAUUCGCUUAAGGAGGGGGUCGCGGCAGAUUAGCUAGUUGGCGGGGUAAUGGCCCACAAGGCAGUGAUCUGUA